RNA transcript from Malania oleifera, 2600 nucleotides. It is a transcript of the gene named pentatricopeptide repeat-containing protein At5g18475, with no coding region annotated. Lineage: Eukaryota; Viridiplantae; Streptophyta; Magnoliopsida; Santalales; Ximeniaceae. The record is from RefSeq and is a predicted model, not a curated record. The transcript is spliced from 4 exons.
UCUUUUGAAUAUUAUGUUUGGCCCAGAAGCAACUCUAAUUGCGUAGCGCGGGCGCCCAGGCUUGGGCUGUUUGUCCAGCGAGGAACAGGUAGCAGUUUUCGGGGAAGGACCUUGGUUUCGCGGAUUGUCGGGAGUUAAGGAGGAUAUCUCCAGUGAAGGAGCCCGUCCCUCACCCAUUGCAAACUCCCUGGGAGUUCGCCGUCUACUGAUUCAGUUUGUCUGCUUUGCUUUUGAGUUUUGAGACCAGUUGAAAUUAUGGCUCUAUCAGGCUUCUACUAUCAUGAACAUAAACAUAAUGAGCUAGAAUCACUGCCCAGGUCGGACUUCUAAAUGGGUACAUCUAUUUUUCUCUGAGUCUUUAAUUCAAACAGGAAGCGAGCUGAAUAAUAGAGUAGCGUGUUCUCAUCCUCUUCUAGAUGACAAAUCUCUUCUGAAAAGGUUAGUGUUUUCAUGAAUUCCCAGAGAGUUUCUUGUUGUAAAUCUCGCUGGUUCUCCUCCUCCCCUUCAACGAUAUCGUCUUCACUUCAAUGGAUCUCUCCCCUCCAGUACAUGAAAAAACGCACCUCCCCAAAACCAGAUCCUCCGCCUGAAGACACAACUCCAGCCCCGGAAGCUCAGACCAAACCAAAAUUUAUCUCACAUGAGCAUGCCAUCAACUUGAUCAAACGAGAAAAAGAUCCACAACGUGCUCUUGAAAUAUUUAAUGCAGUGUCCAAGCAAAGGGGUUUUAAUCACAACAAUGCUACAUAUGCUACCAUCCUCCACAAACUUGCUCGUUGUAAGAAAUUUCAGGCGGUUGAUGCGAUUAUUCAUCAAAUGACAUAUGAAGCUUGCAAAUUUCAUGAGGGUAUUUUUCUUAAUCUCAUGAAGCAUUUCUCCAAAUCUAAAUUGCAUGAAAGAGUGCUUGAGAUCUUUUAUGCAAUCCAGUCACUUGUUCCUGAGAAGCCCUCUCUAAAAGCCAUCAGCACUUGUCUUAACCUCUUGGUUGAGUCUGAUCAGAUUGAUUUGGCAAAAAAGUUCCUAUUGGAUUCCAGGAAGAAUCUCAGCCUGGAGCCUAAUACUUGUAUUUUCAACAUUUUGAUCAAGCAUCACUGUAAGAAUGGCAAUCUUGAAUCUGCUUUUGAGGUUGUGAAGGAGAUGAAAAAGGCUAAAAUCUCUUAUCCUAACUUGGUAACCUACUCAACUCUAAUGCACGGUCUUUGUGCCAGUGGGAAACUAAUAGAAGCAUUUGAAUUGUUUGAGGAAAUGGUCUCAAAAGAUCAAAUUUUUCCCGAUGCUCUAACUUACAAUGUGUUGAUCAAUGGGUUUUGUUGUGAUGGGAAAGUCGAUAGGGCCAGGAAGAUAAUGGAGUUCAUGACGAAACAUGGGUGCAACCCAAAUGUAUUUAAUUACUCAUCCCUUAUGAAUGGGUUCUGCAAAGAGGGAAGAGUGCAGGAGGCCAAGGAUGUAUUUGAUGAGAUGAAGAGCCUUGGUUUAAAACCUGAUACUGUUGGGUAUACCACUUUAAUUAAUUGCUUUUGUAGAACUGGGAGAAUUGAUAAAGCCAUUGAAUUGCUCAAGGAGAUGAAAGAAAAAGAGUGCAAAGCCGAUACUGUGACCUUUAAUGUAUUACUUGGAGGAUUGUGCAGGGAAAGGAGGUUUGAAGAGGCUGUCUGGAUGCUUGAGAGGGUGCCUUAUGAGGGAGGUUAUUUGAAUAAAGCAAGUUACAGGAUUGUGCUGAAUUUCUUGUGCAAACAAGGCGAAGUUGAGAAGGCAGCUGACUUGUUGGAUCUGAUGCUGAGCAGAGGUUUUCUACCACAUUAUGCAACCUCGAAUGAGUUACUGGUUCGCCUUUGUGAAGCUGGAAAGGCAGUUGAUGCAGCCACAGCAUUGGUUGGAUUGGUUGAGAUGGGGUUUAAGCCAGAGCCCAAUUCAUGGGUUCUUAUGGUUGAAUUAAUUUGCAGAGAAAGAAAGCUGUUGUAUGCAUUUGAGCUGCUUGAUAAGUUAGUUAGAGCAGGUUGUUAAAGUCUCCACAAAAUCCUCAAGCUAGGUUUCCACGUCUGCUGUGUGAAUGCAGAGCCAUCGUUGAUAAUUUUUCGGCAAUGGCAGGAGGGCAUUUGCGCUGGAGCAGACUGGGUAAUGCCCAGCUUAUUCUGGGUGGCUGUUGGCUGUCCUGUGUCAGGUUGCAGGCACGGAGGCAGCAGCACCCUCUGCAGAGAAGAAUAUGGCAAAAUGGGGUUCAUGGGUAACCCAAACUCUCUCCUAGCUACAUUACUUGAAAUUUGUGGAUUUAUGGUACCAGAGUCAGAGAUCCGUUUUAAUUACUGGAGUUCUUUAAUUACUGAAGCCCACUUUGAGAAGUCUUGUCCUUCUAGAAGAAAUUUGCUGAGGAACGUAAACGACAAAGGGAUGUCUAUUACCUGUACCACUACCGAAACUCUUGAAAGAAUUGGCUAGUUGGUACUAACAUCCUUACAAGCCCAUCCAUUCAUUCUUGUACUUCUUAAUAUUUUUUUUAAGUAAAAAUUAUAAUUCUGCUCCACUUUAUCAUUAUUUGCAUUUUUCGAUAAACAUGUAUUCAACAUAGGUGAAAACAUAUUUGCUUGGGGUUCUCAUUUUCA